AACAGUGUUCUUAGAGGUAGCCACACCUCAGCAAGGGCUUUCUAACUUGGAACAGCAAAGUUCAAAUGAACGAAUAGACACAAACUGUGAAAGAGUCCUGAACCCAUUACAAGGCGAAUCUUUACAGCACAAUUGCCCUCUGAAGCUACUUGAAACAGGGCAUGGGACUUAAAGGAGAAAAAAAAGGAAAUGGACCAUCUCUUCUAACACCUGGAAUGUGAUCCAAGCCUGGAGACAAAUUGAUGGAAACCGAGGACCUUGGAAGGCUUCCCACUGGAAGGUCAGUGGAGAUAGUGGAAAUCACAGAACGGUCUGCAAGUAGCAAAGAGGCAGAUGAAAAGAAGAAGAAGAAGAAAGGGAAGAAAUAAAACCUACAUUCCUACAGCAUGAAACCAAUUACCAAGGGACUUAUUAGAUAGGCAAUAAAAAUCUGGAAACUUUCUCUCUUAGGGCGGAGCCAAGAUGGAGAUAAACUGAUG
Molecule: small RNA, 479 nt
Filed under: Pongo abelii (Sumatran orangutan)
Lineage: Eukaryota; Metazoa; Chordata; Mammalia; Primates; Hominidae
Description: processed transcript
Source: RNAcentral